GCGGGGCAGCAACUUCAAUUUUUUUAGCAAAGUUCCGACCGGGGUUCGAAAAUUUUAUCACGUACCAAUCUAAUAACUGACUUGGACGUAAGUUUUGACAUGAUUCUGUGUAGAAUAUUUUAGACUACUCUUUUUAACAUUUUAAUUAUGCCACUUUAUUUUCUUGUUAUUACAUCCAAUUAUAAUUGAGUGAAUUAUAUCAAUAUCAAUUCGAAUCAAGUAUCUGUUCUCAAUUCUUCAACACAACAAACGACAACACCAAACGCCUGAAAUAAAUAUUAAAACUAACUAAAACAAUAUAUCUGCCCUGGCUAAAAGCCUUGUCAAUAAAAUUUAUAGGCAAGAAGCCUAAUUUCCCCUCUAUGGGGCUGGUUAUAUCAAACCCGUUUAGCUUAAACGGUGGAUAAGUCAAAAUUAAAUAACACUCUUAUAUCUCUUGUGAAUCUGUUAACUUAAAUAUUUAUUCUGCACUGAAUACGUAGUUGUAAAAAAUAUCGUUCUAUUAAGGUUCAAUACUUUUAGUUUGGUUGUUGAAUGAAUCUAUAGACUUGCUAUCUAUUUUGAGCUUAACCACCGUUUAAGCUAAGCAGGCUUGAUACAACCAGCCCCAGACAUUUAACACCAGGAACAUAAAAUAAUCUCUGCCUAUGUAGUGAUCUACCAUAGCUCACAUACCAGUAAAAUAAUAGGUAUGAGAAAUAUAAAUAACUAGUCUGAUACAAAUGCCAAUGUAUAUUUCAUAUAAAACUAAACUGGAAUCUGAAUGUCCUAUAUAUGCAUCAACUCAUUGUAUACUCAAAGAGUUUGUCAGUUAAACCAGUUAAGUCCGAGUCAAAUCCGAGCCCGAGUCAACUUAGUACCCUAACCACACUCCUUUAUAAACCCUACCUCUAACCCUAUUUGAUUAUGAAUUUUAUUCAAUUUCGAAGUUUGUCGGUUAACCGAGUUAAAUCUGAGCCCAGUCAAUUAUGUCUGAGUCACUGUUAAGCGGUCUUUGUAGUUCAAUGAAUUAGUACCCUAAUCUUAUUCCUUAAACCCUAUUUGAUUAUGAAUUUUUUCAAUUUUGUCUUUUUUUAACAUGACUCAGACGUUUGACUCGGGCUCUGAAUUGACUCGGAUUUGACUUGGUAAAUAGAUUUACUCUAUACUCAAAGCCGGCAACAAUAUUCAGAUUGAUCAGUCAUGGGUGACCAUGUGAUCUUCAAGGUCUCUGGGAACAUCAAACACAACAUCGCACACACAACAAACAUAUCCAAUACCAGUUGGUUCUGUCGAUUCCAGUUCUUGACAUAAAGCACAUUGAUAGUUUCCAGCAUUACCAUGUUGCCUUGCCAAAUGUUGAACCAAUAUCAUGAAACCAGACAAUUGUCUAUUACAUUUGUUACAAACAUACUUUCCAGUGUUUCUAUCCUCAACAAAAUGUUCUUGUAAUUCUUGCGGUCGGAUAAUCUCUCUGCCGCAAGUGUGACACAACAAAUGCCCCUUCUUGUGGUAAUUAAGACUACUUGAUUGGGAAAAUUGUUUCUCGCAAAAAUCACAUUCAUAAGGCCUGUCCCCUCUGUGUGUUCUUUUGUGUUUAGUUAGAUGUCCUGAUUGUCUAAAUUUCUUCUUACAAACAUUACAUUCAUAAGGUUUGUCUUCAGAGUGUGUAGUCUUGUGCCUCACUAAAAUGCUUGAUUGUGCAAAUCUCCUCUUACAAAUAUCACAUUCAUAUGGCGUUUCGCGAGUGUGCGUUCUUUUAUGUAGCACCAAACGUCUGGAUUGUCGAAAUCUUUUCUUGCACACAUCGCAUUCAUAAGGAUUGUCUCCAGUGUGUGUUCUUUCUUGUCUUGCCGAGCUGCCUGAUCUUAUAAAUUUACAACCAUGAUCCGCCAUGAUUCGCUAAUUUUAUGAAUUUCACGCAAAUUAAUAAACUGGUGAUCGACUUCAGAUCUACAUUUUUUUACUUCUCUCUCCACAAAAGCGUCAGUAGCCUUGUAUCUUCUUAUUAAAACAAAAUGAAACUAUAAAUUUGGAGAAACGUUUACGUCGUAUUGUGUCUAUUGUCGUUUUCAAAAU
RNAcentral lists this long non-coding RNA (2058 nucleotides) under Paramuricea clavata. The record is from RNAcentral. Lineage: Eukaryota; Metazoa; Cnidaria; Anthozoa; Malacalcyonacea; Plexauridae.